CUUGGAGACACAUCAUUGUGUUCUGUCACACCAACCAGGCUGCGCCAGAGACACAGAAAUCUUGAUCUUCUGGCAGAAAACUCUUCCAAAACAUUCCUAUGUGACACUGCUCAUGUAUAGGUGUUCCAAACCGAAUGUCCAGUUAUUUCCACCAUUGUGCAAAAACGGGAGACCCUGCCGAGCAGCAGAUGGCCCUCAGCAGGGCUGACACUCAGGCCAGGCCCCAGGUGGCAGCUCUCAGAACACACUGUCCAGCUAAACCCUGCACAGACUGGCCAUGGAAAAUACCUGGUGUUCACAUUCCCCAAAUUUGGGCAAAUGACAGGGUCACCCAGUGCACUUCAUGGGGUCAGUGGGGAGAACCAGCAUUUCAGCACAAGUUCACAAAUCACUGGGUCCCCCUUGUCAAACACUGCAAAUAUGCAGCAUGCUAAGAAAAAUCUCCUUAUCUCUCAGACUCUGUAUCACUCGGCUCAUCUGAGUUGCUACAAUGGACAAUAAAAUCUAAUAAGUUAAAAUGAGGUAUGGAAUGCUCAGGAGAAAAACAACAAGGACUAGUACUCUUCAUCUGAGUAAAUAAUUUCUCUCACAGGGUUAAUGUUAGCUUUGCAAAUUUUUUAUUUGAGAUUAUAUUUUAAAUCAUAAUUUGUGCAUGUGUGAUUUAAAAUAAAAAAGGCAAUCAACUAGUCUUUCUGCCAGUCUAGGUGAUGUGAAAUUUAAUUAUCGAGGAGUUAUCAUUAAAACAAAUGCAAAGCAAUUUUUUUACACAUAAUUGAAUAUUCCAGAAGAAAAUUUCUGAAAAAUCCAAAGGUCCAAAAGAAAACUUCUCAGUGAGAAUGUCUGUUUCAAUAAGAUACCCUAUUUUGUAGUAUUGGAUGCAGAGAAUUUCUAGUUAGACAUACAUAAGUCUUGCCAGAAUUACUAUAGUUCAGUUUUGCCACCUGCAUCUAGGAAUAUGGAAGACUUAUCUAUGUUACUGGUUAUGACUCCCCAAUAAUGAGUAAUGAAAAUUCCUAUUUAUCAUUUCUACAUCAACAUCAGUGUGAUAGCAGAAAACAGCAUGACUUACCUGGCCCACAUUACUGUUGUAUAGAAUCUAAAGAAAUAAAUACCUCAAUCCAUUCAGGAAUGUUCUUUUCCCAA
Long non-coding RNA from Pongo pygmaeus (Bornean orangutan), 1143 nucleotides. RefSeq lists it as uncharacterized. NCBI's taxonomy places the organism in Eukaryota, Metazoa, Chordata, Mammalia, Primates, Hominidae. The transcript is spliced from 2 exons. The record is from RefSeq and is a predicted model, not a curated record.